Molecule: ribosomal RNA, 460 nt
Filed under: uncultured bacterium
Lineage: Bacteria
Description: partial 16S ribosomal RNA
Rfam family: Bacterial small subunit ribosomal RNA
Source: RNAcentral
CCUACGGGUGGCAGCAGUGAGGAAUAUUGGUCAAUGGACGCAAGUCUGAACCAGCCAUGCCGCGUGCAGGAAGACGGCUCUAUGAGUUGUAAACUGCUUUUGUACGAGGGUAAACGCAGAUACGCGUAUCUGUCUGAAAGUAUCGUACGAAUAAGGAUCGGCUAACUCCGUUCCAGCAGCCGCGGUAAUACGGAGGAUUCAAGCGUUAUCCGGAUUUAUUGGGUUUAAGGGGUGCGUAGGCGGUCGGAUAAGUUAGAGGUGAAAUCCCGAGGCUCAACAUCGGAAUUGCCGCUGAUACUGUUCGGCUAGAGAGUAGUUGCGGUAGGCGGAAUGUAUGGUGUAGCGGUGAAAUGCUUAGAGAUCAUACAGAACACCGAUUGCGAAGGCAGCUUACCAAGCUACUUCUGACGUUGAGGCACGAAAGCGUGGGGAGCGAACAGGAUUAGAUACCCCUGUAGUC